UACAGAGGGGGCAAGCGUUAUUCGGAAUUAUUGGGCGUAAAGGGCGCGUAGGCGGCCUGGCAAGUGGAUGGUGAAAUCCCUCGGCUUAACCGAGGAACUGCCAUCCAGACUGCUUGGCUUGAGACCGGGAGAGGUGAGUGGAAUUCUCGGUGUAGCGGUGAAAUGCGUAGAUAUCGAGAGGAACACCUGCGGCGAAGGCGGGUUGCUGGGCUGACACUGACGCUGAGGCGCGAAAGCUAGGGGAGCGAACGGG
RNAcentral lists this ribosomal RNA (253 nucleotides) under uncultured bacterium. RNAcentral describes it as "partial 16S ribosomal RNA". It matches the Rfam family "Bacterial small subunit ribosomal RNA", at positions 524 to 776 of the family's 1533-position model. The record is from RNAcentral.